This 66-nucleotide transfer RNA is filed under the name Sympetrum meridionale. RNAcentral's name for it is "partial tRNA-Tyr". Lineage: Eukaryota; Metazoa; Arthropoda; Insecta; Odonata; Libellulidae. The record is from RNAcentral.
AUCGCCUAAAGUCUCGACCCAUCUUACCUAAAUUAUAUUAAGGGUCAUAAUAUAAUAUUUAAGAUA